Molecule: non-coding RNA, 128 nt
Organism: Picea glauca (white spruce)
Lineage: Eukaryota; Viridiplantae; Streptophyta; Pinopsida; Pinales; Pinaceae
Source: Rfam
GAGAGCCCUAUGAUGGGAAACUACCAUGUUAGGUUUGGAGAGAGAGGGAUGGGUUCUAUAAUAGGGGGAGAAGAUGCAAACUUUUUAUUUCAAUAACAAAUGACUACAGGAUCAUCAAUCUACUCCAC